This 309-nucleotide long non-coding RNA is filed under the name Androctonus crassicauda. Lineage: Eukaryota; Metazoa; Arthropoda; Arachnida; Scorpiones; Buthidae. The record is from RNAcentral.
GUGGAUUAAGAGCGUAGACAUGGAGUGGAACAGAAAUAAAAAAUAUAAAAAUGGUACGGAGCUUUCCAUGCUUCCGGGGGCUGCUGCGGUGAUGGCCGUGGGGCCGUCUGCACUGUGCCGGCGGAUCCUGGGAGUCUCUCCAUGUCGAACGCGUAUCGUCAGCCAUGUCGUGGCCAGACAUAGUGUGGGUUUGCCGUCUAGCUGCCCAGCUGCUAUGUCCAUUUCCAUCAUCGGCUCUAUGUUCAAUUGUUUCAUCCAGUUGAUGUGUCAGGGAUCCGUUACAGAGUCGCAGUCCCUCUCUCACGCGCC